This 156-nucleotide ribosomal RNA is filed under the name Nicotiana sylvestris (wood tobacco). RNAcentral's name for it is "5.8S ribosomal RNA". It matches the Rfam family "5.8S ribosomal RNA". From Rfam's summary of the family: 5.8S ribosomal RNA (5.8S rRNA) is a component of the large subunit of the eukaryotic ribosome. It is transcribed by RNA polymerase I as part of the 45S precursor that also contains 18S and 28S rRNA. Functionally, it is thought that 5.8S rRNA may be involved in ribosome translocation. RNAcentral also lists the same sequence under 1 other name. Lineage: Eukaryota; Viridiplantae; Streptophyta; Magnoliopsida; Solanales; Solanaceae. The record is from Rfam by way of RNAcentral.
GACUCUCGGAAACGGAUAUCUUGGCUCUUGCAUCAAUGAAUAAGGUAAUGAAAUGCGAUACUUGGUGUGAAUUACAGAACCCUGUGAACCAUCGAGUCUUUGAAUGCAAGUUGCACCCGAAGCCAUUAGGCCGAGGGCAUGUCUGCCUGGGCGCCU